This 301-nucleotide ribosomal RNA is filed under the name uncultured bacterium. RNAcentral's name for it is "partial 16S ribosomal RNA". It matches the Rfam family "Bacterial small subunit ribosomal RNA", at positions 509 to 807 of the family's 1533-position model. The record is from RNAcentral.
CAGCAGCCGCGGGAAUACAGAGGGUGCGAGCGUUAAUCGGAUUUACUGGGCGUAAAGCGUGCGUAGGCGGCUAAUUGAGUCGGAUGUGAAAUCCCCGAGCUUAACUUGGGAAUUGCAUUCGAUACUGGUUAGCUAGAGUGUGGGAGAGGAUGGUAGAAUUCCAGGUGUAGCGGUGAAAUGCGUAGAGAUCUGGAGGAAUACCGAUGGCGAAGGCAGCCAUCUGGCCUAACACUGACGCUGAGGUACGAAAGCAUGGGGAGCAAACAGGAUUAGACACCCCCGUAGUCCCUGUCUCUUAUAC